This is a long non-coding RNA of Symphalangus syndactylus (siamang), 470 nucleotides long. RefSeq lists it as uncharacterized. The record is from RefSeq and is a predicted model, not a curated record. Lineage: Eukaryota; Metazoa; Chordata; Mammalia; Primates; Hylobatidae.
UCACUGCUAUGUUAAGAAGUGCCUUUUGCCCCCGCCAUGAUUCUGAGGCCUACCCAGCCAUGGGGAACUUGAGCUCCAGGAAGAAAAGGAUCAUCAUUUAUCCUUCCAUGCUGUGUCUUUAGAACCUAGUGUGGUGCCCGACACAUAGAAGACUCCUGCAACCGCCAUUCUACUUUCUGUCUCUGUGAUUUUGACCACUCUUCAUACCUCGUAAAAAGAAACCACCCAUAAAGGAAAUUUCCCACAUGCUGCUGGAACCUGCUUCACCUUUUGUUAUCCCAACUCCCAAGAUCUGCAAGAAAUACAUCUACCAGCUGGGUGCAGUUGAACAAAAUCAUUACAGGAUUAGCAGUUUUCUGACCCACUUACUAAAAAGAAGCUGAAUCGCUGAAUCGAGACCCCAGGGAAAUGCAGAUUUAUACCUUUGAUGUAUUUCUUGAUUUUUCUUAAAUUAGAUUAUAUAAUCAGUU